Molecule: non-coding RNA, 106 nt
Organism: Acanthosepion pharaonis
Lineage: Eukaryota; Metazoa; Mollusca; Cephalopoda; Sepiida; Sepiidae
Source: the annotation of a GenBank genome assembly
UUACGGCCACAACACGUAGAAACAACAGAUCACGUAAGAUCCGAAGUUAAGCCACGUCGAGUCUGGUCAGUACCUAGAUGGGUAACCGCUUGGGAAUACCAGGUGU